Molecule: long non-coding RNA, 753 nt
Filed under: Anas platyrhynchos platyrhynchos (common mallard)
Lineage: Eukaryota; Metazoa; Chordata; Aves; Anseriformes; Anatidae
Description: lncRNA (ENSAPLG00000026213.1)
Source: RNAcentral
CUGAAUCUCAAAAACCUGGAUUCUGCUUUCAGCAGCAAACCUAGGAUCACCGACCAGUUCAAUAAGGGUCUAACAAACUCUGGACAGACUUCUGUGGAAAAGGGGUCCAGUUCAAGAUGGUGGGAGCAGUGUGUGAACUGUGUUGCAGCCCAUCGAAAUGGUGUUUUCUUUCUCUUUCAUCUCUUACGAGCACAAAAUGCUGUAUGCCUUGGAACAUGCCAUGAAUGCAUGCUGGGAGUUCCUGGAGGUGCGUAAGGUCUUGAAAGCUUCACUGUGAUGUUCCUUUCAUGCUUCUGAAACUCACUUGUUUUCUUCCACCGCCCCACAAGACAGUUAUGCUGUAGCAAGAGCAGGCAGGCUGCCUCAGAGUCACAGAUCAUGGGAAACCAUCGCUUAAGAGGCACUGCAACCUGCUUACUAAGCAGAGCAGCGCUACAGCUAAUACUCAGCAGGCUCCAUGACCUGUCCUGCUCUUGACCUAAGAUACCAAAAGCCCAGGCCUGGGUUGUCUCAGACGCUGCAGGCAGCCCAGCAGCUUGCAGCUGUGCUCCUCUGACCAGCUCAGGGUCAAGCCCUCAAGCACAGCAAGGAAAACAUGAUGAUGGCAGGCCACUAGCACCGAGGCUGUUCCCUGUAGAGAUAAGGGAGCAUCUAUUUUUGGUCCCUUUCAGGUCUCAGUGUAAGAUCCCAGUUUGAAAAGGUUUCUCCAGGGCAAUGUACCCAUCUGCAAGUGCUGUGGGCUACCACAGAAAA